UUUAAUUCGAAGCAACGCGAAGAACCUUACCGGGUCUUGACAUCCCGAAUGACCGGUGAGUAAUGUCACCUUUCCUUCGGGACAUUCGAGACAGGUGGUGCAUGGUUGUCGUCAGCUCGUGUCGUGAGAUGUUGGGUUAAGUCCCGCAACGAGCGCAACCCUUAUCUUCAGUAGCCAGCGGUUCGGCCGGGCACUCUGGAGAGACUGCCAGGGAUAACCUGGAGGAAGGUGGGGAUGACGUCAAAUCAUCAUGCCCCUUAUGGGCAGGGCUACACACGUGCUACAAUGGCGUAAACAAAGGGAGGCAAUACUGCGAAGUUGAGCAAAUCCCAAAAAUAACGUCUCAGUUCGGAUUGUAGUCUGCAACUCGACUACAUGAAGCUGGAAUCGCUAGUAAUCGCGAAUCAGAAUGUCG
RNAcentral lists this ribosomal RNA (415 nucleotides) under uncultured bacterium. Its description in RNAcentral is "bacterial SSU rRNA". It matches the Rfam family "Bacterial small subunit ribosomal RNA", at positions 945 to 1359 of the family's 1533-position model. The record is from RNAcentral.